RNAcentral lists this unclassified non-coding RNA (330 nucleotides) under soil metagenome. RNAcentral describes it as "partial contains 5.8S ribosomal RNA, internal transcribed spacer 2, and large subunit ribosomal RNA". The stretch from base 1 to 120 matches the Rfam family "5.8S ribosomal RNA", at positions 35 to 154 of the family's 154-position model. The record is from RNAcentral.
GAUGAAGAACGUAGCGAAAUGCGAUAAGUAAUGUGAAUUGCAGAAUUCAGUGAAUCAUCGAAUCUUUGAACGCACAUUGCGCCCCCUGGUAUUCCGGGGGGCAUGCCUGUUCGAGCGUCAUUUCACCACUCAAGCCUCGCUUGGUAUUGGGCAACGCGGUCCGCCGCGUGCCUCAAAUCGACCGGCUGGGUCUUCUGUCCCCUAAGCGUUGUGGAAACUUUCGCUAAAGGGUGUUCGGGAGGCUACGCCGUAAAGCAACCCCAUUUCUAAGGUUGACCUCGGAUCAGGUAGGGAUACCCGCUGAACUUAAGCAUAUCAAUAAGCGGAGGA